GAAAAAGAAUGCAAGAACUGCUAAUUCAUGCCUCCGCACUUGAAAAUGCGGCUUUUUCA
RNAcentral lists this transfer RNA (59 nucleotides) under Myotis volans. Its description in RNAcentral is "tRNA-Ser". Lineage: Eukaryota; Metazoa; Chordata; Mammalia; Chiroptera; Vespertilionidae. The record is from RNAcentral.